Molecule: ribosomal RNA, 259 nt
Filed under: uncultured archaeon
Lineage: Archaea
Description: partial 16S ribosomal RNA
Rfam family: Archaeal small subunit ribosomal RNA
Source: RNAcentral
CAGCCGUAAACUAUGCUCGCUAGGUGUCAGGCAUGGCGCGACCGUGUCUGGUGCCGCAGGGAAGCCGUGAAGCGAGCCACCUGGGAAGUACGGCCGCAAGGCUGAACUUAAAGGAUUGGCGGGGGAGCACAACAACGGGUGGAGCCUGCGGUUUAAUUGGACUCAACGCCGGACAACUCACCGGGAACGACAGCAAUAUGUAGGCCAGGCUGAAGACCUUGCCUGAAUCGCUGAGAGGAGGUGCAUGGCGUAGACGUCU